Molecule: ribosomal RNA, 506 nt
Filed under: uncultured bacterium
Lineage: Bacteria
Description: partial 16S ribosomal RNA
Rfam family: Bacterial small subunit ribosomal RNA
Source: RNAcentral
GAUGAACGCUAGCUACAGGCUUAACACAUGCAAGUCGAGGGGUAACGAGAGGAAAGCUUGCUUUCCUUGUCGACGACCGGCGCACGGGUGAGUAACGCGUAUCCAACCUGCCCCCAACUAGGGAAUAACCUUGCGAAAGUAAGACUAAUACCCUAUAAUUUCCUCAGAUGUCAUCUGACGAGGAAUAAAGAUUUAUCGGUUGUGGAUGGGGAUGCGUCUGAUUAGCUUGUUGGCGGGGUAACGGCCCACCAAGGCAACGAUCAGUAGGGGUUCUGAGAGGAAGGUCCCCCACAUUGGAACUGAGACGCGGUCCAAACUCCUACGGGAGGCAGCAGUGAGGAAUAUUGGUCAAUGGGCGGAAGCCUGAACCAGCCAAGUAGCGUGCAGGAUGACGGCCCUAUGGGCUGUAAACUGCUUUUAUACAGGAAUAAAGUUAGCCACGUGUGGUUAUUUGUAGGUACUGUAUGAAUAAGGACCGGCUAAUUCCGUGCCAGCAGCCGCCGUAA